GAUGAAGAACGUAGUGAAAUGCGAUAACUAAUGUGAAUUGCAGAAUUCAGUGAAUCAUCGAGUCUUUGAACGCACAUUGCGCCCCCUGGUAUUCCGGGGGGCAUGCCUGUCCGAGCGUCAUUGCUGCCCUCAAGCCCGGCUUGUGUGUUGGGUCGCCGUCCCCCUCUCCGGGGGGACGGGCCCGAAAGGCAGCGGCGGCACCGCGUCCGAUCCUCGAGCGUAUGGGGCUUUGUCACAUGCUCUGUAGGAUUGGCCGGCGCCUGCCGACGUUUUCCAACCAUUCUUUCCAGGUUGACCUCGGAUCAGGUAGGGAUACCCGCUGAACUUAAGCAUAUCAAUAAGCGGAGGA
Molecule: unclassified non-coding RNA, 349 nt
Filed under: soil metagenome
Description: partial contains 5.8S ribosomal RNA, internal transcribed spacer 2, and large subunit ribosomal RNA
Rfam family: 5.8S ribosomal RNA (bases 1-120)
Source: RNAcentral